This 447-nucleotide ribosomal RNA is filed under the name uncultured bacterium. RNAcentral's name for it is "bacterial SSU rRNA". It matches the Rfam family "Bacterial small subunit ribosomal RNA", at positions 331 to 792 of the family's 1533-position model. The record is from RNAcentral.
CCAGACUCCUACGGGAGGCAGCAGUGGGGAAUAUUGCACAAUGGGGGAAACCCUGAUGCAGCAACGCCGCGUGAAGGAAGACGGUUUUCGGAUUGUAAACUUCUAUCAAUAGGGAAGAAAGAAAUGACGGUACCUAAAUAAGAAGCCCCGGCUAACUACGUGCCAGCAGCCGCGGUAAUACGUAGGGGGCAAGCGUUAUCCGGAUUUACUGGGUGUAAAGGGAGCGUAGACGGAGAAGCAAGUCUGAAGUGAAAGCCCGUGGCUUAACCACGGGACUGCUUUGGAAACUGUUUGACUAGAGUGCUGGAGAGGUAAGUGGAAUUCCUAGUGUAGCGGUGAAAUGCGUAGAUAUUAGGAGGAACACCAGUGGCGAAGGCGGCUUACUGGACAGUAACUGACGUUGAGGCUCGAAAGCGUGGGGAGCAAACAGGAUUAGAUACCCCGGUA